AGGGGGAGGACUGGCGGCGGACUACCAUGGCAGUCGAGCGGUAGAGAGAAGCUUGCUUCUCUUGAGAGCGGCGGACGGGUGAGUAAUGCCUAGGAAUCUGCCUGGUAGUGGGGGAUAACGUUCGGAAACGGACGCUAAUACCGCAUACGUCCUACGGGAGAAAGCAGGGGACCUUCGGGCCUUGCGCUAUCAGAUGAGCCUAGGUCGGAUUAGCUAGUUGGUGAGGUAAUGGCUCACCAAGGCGACGAUCCGUAACUGGUCUGAGAGGAUGAUCAGUCACACUGGAACUGAGACACGGUCCAGACUCCUACGGGAGGCAGCAGUGGGGAAUAUUGGACAAUGGGCGAAAGCCUGAUCCAGCCAUGCCGCGUGUGUGAAGAAGGUCUUCGGAUUGUAAAGCACUUUAAGUUGGGAGGAAGGGUUGUAGAUUAAUACUCUGCAAUUUUGACGUUACCGACAGAAUAAGCACCGGCUAACUCUGUGCCAGCAGCCGCGGUAAUACAGAGGGUGCAAGCGUUAAUCGGAAUUACUGGGCGUAAAGCGCGCGUAGGUGGUUUGUUAAGUUGGAUGUGAAAUCCCCGGGCUCAACCUGGGAACUGCAUUCAAAACUGACUGACUAGAGUAUGGUAGAGGGUGGUGGAAUUUCCUGUGUAGCGGUGAAAUGCGUAGAUAUAGGAAGGAACACCAGUGGCGAAGGCGACCACCUGGACUAAUACUGACACUGAGGUGCGAAAGCGUGGGGAGCAAACAGGAUUAGAUACCCUGGUAGUCCACGCCGUAAACGAUGUCAACUAGCCGUUGGAAGCCUUGAGCUUUUAGUGGCGCAGCUAACGCAUUAAGUUGACCGCCUGGGGAGUACGGCCGCAAGGUUAAAACUCAAAUGAAUUGACGGGGGCCCGCACAAGCGGUGGAACCAUGUGGUUUAAUUCGAAGCAACGCGAAGAACCUUACCAGGCCUUGACAUCCAAUGAACUUUCUAGAAAAUAGAUUGGUGCCUUCGGGACAUUGAGACAGGUGCUGCAUGGCUGUCGUCACUCGGGCCUGAAAAAUGUUGGGUUAAGUCCCGUAACGAGCGCAACCCUUGUCCUUAGUACCAGCCCGUAAUGGUGGGCACUCUAAGGAGACUGCCGUGAAACACGAGAAAGAGAGGGGGGGGGAGAACCCCAUUCUCUUGGGGCCUUUAGGGCGGGGGUAACACCUGUUUAAUGGUGGGGGUAAAAAGAGUGGCCACCCCCCCGGGGGAGGGAUAUCUCUAAAAACCAGCUGGGUUCGGAGGGCCGUUGGCACCCCACCGCGGGGUGGGGGAAACCCUUAAAUCCCGAACCAAAAAGAGGGGGGGAGAAAUUUCCCGGCGUUGGCCCCCCGCCCCCCCCCGGGGGGGGGGUGGGGGGAAAGAAAUAUUUAACUCUCUAGAAGGUUCCCGUGUUU
This 1428-nucleotide ribosomal RNA is filed under the name Pectobacterium carotovorum subsp. carotovorum. Its description in RNAcentral is "partial 16S ribosomal RNA". It matches the Rfam family "Bacterial small subunit ribosomal RNA". The record is from RNAcentral. Lineage: Bacteria; Pseudomonadati; Pseudomonadota; Gammaproteobacteria; Enterobacterales; Pectobacteriaceae.